AAGUUGGGGAACAUCUACCCGCUGUGGUUAUUCAGCCAUGGUACAGAUACUUGGAAUCAUUCUUCAGCAUGGAAAUCUUUAUAGGUUUAUAGAUUGGGACAUUGUGUGGAAAAAGCUAAAAGUAGAGAUGGGUAACUUGGGACUGCUAAAGCUUAUGAUAGGUAAGUAGUAUUAAUAUGCUACAACGUGACAAUACAAAUUUUUUAGCCUGUGUAACCAGGCCACUGUAGUGCUUCAGUCUUGGCAGGGUUACAUAAUAUCCUGUUUCUUUUGCUUGGUAUGUAAGGGAAUAGUGGGCAAAUUCAGUUUUGUAUACAAUCUUCAGCACUGGCAUCUUUGUUUUCAUAGGUUGGGUCCUGGUGUAAGAAAGAUUUAGGGCUGGACGGAUGGAGCUUGUUAUUUAACAGGUAAGUGAAAAAAUAGGUGUGCUAAGAAAAAAAUUUCUUCAGCAUGUGCAUCUUUGUUUUACAGGUUUUCCUGGAUUGGGUGAUGUCUAACCACCAUGGUGUUUUAUCUUUUGCAGUUUAUUUGGAAUCUUAUUUCUUGUUGGUAGGUAUGGAUGGACAAACUCAGUUUGUUUUUGUAUUUUUCAGCAUGGACAUUUUACAGAUUUGAACUCUGCAUCUAUUCCAUGACUACUUAAGACUGAUAACAUUGGGCUGCUGAACCAUGCAAACAGAUGAGUAGGAAAAAGAGUGAAUGAAAAAUGGAGUGAUUCUUUUAACUAGGCAUUGAUUUGUUUUUACAGGAGACGCCUAGCCACUGUGGUACAUCGGCCUUGAAAUUUAAUUUGGGAUUUUUUUUUCUUUUGGUAAGUAUGAGUGGAUAAUGGGCAAAUUCCAUUUUUUGUAUUCAUUUUUUAGCCUGGGCAUCUUUGUUUUUACAGGUUGGGUCCUUGUGUAGGAAAGGAUAAGAGCCAGGGACAAGUGACCUGGGAUUGUUGUAAACUUUGAUUUAAUAGGUGACUAGAUUAAUCCACUUGUCUUAAAUGGGGAAAAAAAUAAGGAAUGCUGGCAGGUAUCUUUGUACUGCUGAAGCUUGCAAUAAGUGAAUAGAAGAAUUGGUGUGCAUGGAUAAUUGUGAUAAUUCAGCCUGGUCAAUUUUGUUUUCUUGUUUUAAAGACUUCAAAUCUUCUAAUAACCAAUCUACUUAUCUGCUGAAGAAUGGCUUUGUGUUCAUAGAUAAUAGUGAUUCUUCAGCCUUGGACGUCUUUGUUUUAUAGGUUGGAACCUUGUGUAUAAAAGGCUAGGAGUGGAGGUAGGUAAUUUAGGACUACUGCAGCUUAUGAUCUGUAAGUAAAGAAAGAUGGUCAUGGAUUAUAGUGAUUCUUAAGCCUGGGCAACCAUUUGUUUUAACAGGUAGCUAGUUCGGGAAGUAUCUUGCCUCUAUGGUACUUUAAUUUUGGCAGGGGUUACUUUGAAUCCUUUGUUUUAGUAAGUAUAUGAGCGGAUGCAAAAAAAAUGCUAUUUUGGCAUUAUCAUUCUUUAGUCUGGGCAUCUUUCUUUUAUAGGUUGGUUUCUGGUAUACGAAAGGAGGCAGAUGACUUGGGACUGCUGAAGCUUGUGGUCAACAGGUGAGCAGAGGAAAAAGUGUAAAUGAAUAAAGAUAAUGGAAUAAAAACAAAAUCUCUAUUUGUUUCUACAGGUGUUCCUAUUUUUGGCAUUGUCUAGCCACUGUGGUACCUCAGCCAUGGCAGUGGCGGGCUUAUUUGGAAUCCUGCUUCUUUUGGUAGGUAUAUGAGUGGAUGGGCUAACUGAGUUUGGCGUUAUUAUUAUUCAGCAAAGAUCUUUGUUUUCCAGAUUGGGACAUUGUGUGGAAAUGGCUAGUAGUAGAGGCAGGUAAUUUAGUACUACAGAAGCUUGUAAUAGGUGAGUAGUAGAAUUGAUGUGCAUGGAUUAUAAUGAUUUGUCAGCCUUGGGUUUCUUUUUACAGGUUGGCACAUUGUGUUUAAAAGGCUAGGAGUAGAGAAAGGUAACUUGGGAUUGCAGAAGCAUAUGCUAGUUAAAUAGAAUAAUAAAUGUGCAUGGAUAAUAUGAAUUAUUUAGCCUGGCCAUCCAUUUUGUUUUUACAGACAUCCAGCCACUGUGGUGCUUCUGUCUUGGCGGGGGUGCUUGAUAUCCUGUUUCUUUUACUGGGUAGUUUUUGUUUUCAAUAUUCAGCUCUGGCAUCCAUGUUUUUAAAGGUUGGGUUGUGGUGUAAGAAAGGAUUGAAGAUGAUGGCAGAUCUGGGACUGCUGGAAAGUGUGCUAAGUAAAAUGUCUCUUCAGUAUGUGCGUCUUUGUUUUACAGGUUUUCCUGGCCCAGGAAAGGUCUAGCCCCCAUGGAUUUUAAGCCUUUGCAGUUUAUUUGGAAUCUUAUUUCUUGUGGGAUUGGCCCUAGUUUGGGAAAAGUCUAUCCAUAAAGGACACUUCAGCUUUGUGAAAUUUGGUCUGUAUGUUUUCCAGUUGGGACCUGGUUUGGGAAAAGUCUAAGCCGUACAGCCAUUUUCUUCUUUGAUGCCCUACCAACUCAGCACCCAAGGUGGCAACUCUUUCCUGCUCCAAACACAUUAAGUGGAAGAGAAACUUGACUGAAUUUUCACUGUGCCAUGAUGUGUCCAUUUGGAUUUAAUAUUUGUAUUAGGAUUGUAAAAUGUUUUUUAUUUAAUGUGUUUUGAUUAACUUUCAAGUAAAUGUAUUUUUUCAAUACCAACAUUGCCUCCAGCAGCAAGUUAAGUCUGAAUACUUUUGUCCAUUAGACAUAUUGAUAUAUCCUAUAAAGCAUUCCUAGACUAAUGACUACCUUUAAAACUAACAUCAUCCAUGUUAUAAGUUUACUUCUGGGUUUAAUAGUCACAUUCACUAGUAACCCCUUUGGGAAAGUUAAAAAA
This is a long non-coding RNA of Xenopus tropicalis (tropical clawed frog), 2868 nucleotides long. RefSeq lists it as uncharacterized. Lineage: Eukaryota; Metazoa; Chordata; Amphibia; Anura; Pipidae. The record is from RefSeq and is a predicted model, not a curated record. The transcript has 2 exons.